GACCUUUUCAUUAAGCGCGAAUGCCCUAUAUAGGGUUCUGCCGGGUUCGCCCGGCUAUGGCGAUAAACAAUGGCGUAUAAUAGAUGCAGCGGACCCGGGGGCAGUACCCGGCGGCUCCACCAUAACCGGUGGUGUAUCUGGACACCGUUUCUGACGGGGCCGAACCAGGAUCGACGUGUAUUGAAAAGCGCUGUCUUCGCUCGGAAUGGGACCACCGCAACGGCCCAUUACACAAGUGCCAACGAUAACGAAGCACUCGCUAUUGCGGCGUAACCUCACGGCUUAACGGCCUAAGGUUAUUCUAAAAUGCGCGGUUGGGCCACACCGGGCAACAGAAGUGGACUCCA
This is a non-coding RNA of Sphingomonas sp. TDK1, 347 nucleotides long. The record is from Rfam. Lineage: Bacteria; Pseudomonadati; Pseudomonadota; Alphaproteobacteria; Sphingomonadales; Sphingomonadaceae.